GUUCUUGAAUAGUUCAAAACAGUUGGUUCUUCUACUUGAAUGUAUGAUUCCGUAUUAGUAACUAUAUUUUACAAAUCGUUGUAAAAGUGUGACUAAUAAGAAGUAGAAGAUAUAUGAGAGAAGAAAAGGUGCUUCACAUACGGAACGUGAAUAAGAUAUAGAUCUCUACGAAAGCAGAUAGUACUUACUUCCUCAUAUGAACUACCAAAGAAAUUGGAUUAUAGUAAUCUAAUUGAUUGUCUCUAUAGUAGAGAUGAUAUGGUAGUGUUAACUGUUUAGAAUAUAAUGAUGCUUAAAACCCAAAAGGUUGCAAGGUAGUGACUAAUCCCAACAAAAGUUGUGAUACCUCUCAAACAUAAAUUACGAGUUGGUAAUAAAUGGAUGCUUUGGAUUGUUAGAUCCGGAUCCAAUACCUUCUUGUUAAAAUUGUAUAGAGGCGAAAUGUUCGAAUCUUUAUUCUUUUGGAAAGAAGAAAGAAUCACAAAGUUGUUGAGGUCAAUUCACUUAAAUGUUAGUGGCACUUGUCCACAAACAUAAUAUUACUCAUGUUGAAUAACAUUCA
This 562-nucleotide long non-coding RNA is filed under the name Malus domestica (apple). Its description in RNAcentral is "long non-coding RNA (MDOM_LNC006815)". The record is from RNAcentral. Lineage: Eukaryota; Viridiplantae; Streptophyta; Magnoliopsida; Rosales; Rosaceae.